RNAcentral lists this unclassified non-coding RNA (379 nucleotides) under uncultured Orbiliaceae. Its description in RNAcentral is "sequence contains ITS1". The stretch from base 1 to 105 matches the Rfam family "5.8S ribosomal RNA", at positions 50 to 154 of the family's 154-position model. Lineage: Eukaryota; Fungi; Ascomycota; Orbiliomycetes; Orbiliales. The record is from RNAcentral.
GAAACGCGAUAGUUAAUGUGAAUUGCAGAAUUCAGUGAAUCAUCGAGUCUUUGAACGCACAUUGCGCCUUUUGGUAUUCCGAGAGGCACGUCUGUUCGAGCGUCAGUAAAACCCUUCCGGACCGACGGUUUUUUGCGAAACCUGCCUGGCCUCGGGACCCUGGCGUGGGGAAGUGACCAUCGCUGUGCUCUAGUGACCGGCGAGCCUGGGUCGUCCCCCGCUUAAACGCGGAGAAAGCUAGCGGGCACGCCCCACAUUGCGACAACUCGUAAAUUUUUUUGCUGUUGUUAAGUCAUAGUGAACGUUGCCCCGCCUAUUUCAAACACAACUUUACCUGACCCUUGACCUCGGAUCAGACGAGGAUACCCGCUGAACUUAA